CCAAGGAUGUUUUCAUUAAUCAAGAACGAAAGUUAGGGGAUCGAAGACGAUCAGAUACCGUCGUAGUCUUAACCAUAAACGAUGCCGACCAGCGAUUAGGAGACGUUGAAUACAAAACACCACCAUCGGUUGCGGUCGUCCUUGGCGUCUCGGUUUCGGCCGGGGCGCGGGGACGGUUUAGCCCGGUGGCACCGGUGAAU
Molecule: ribosomal RNA, 200 nt
Filed under: Acanthamoeba sp.
Lineage: Eukaryota; Discosea; Longamoebia; Acanthamoebidae
Description: partial 18S ribosomal RNA
Rfam family: Eukaryotic small subunit ribosomal RNA (bases 1-158)
Source: RNAcentral